RNAcentral lists this ribosomal RNA (576 nucleotides) under uncultured bacterium. RNAcentral describes it as "partial 16S ribosomal RNA". It matches the Rfam family "Bacterial small subunit ribosomal RNA", at positions 355 to 919 of the family's 1533-position model. The record is from RNAcentral.
UGAGGAAUUUUGGACAAUGGGCGAAAGCCUGAUCCAGCAAUGCCGCGUGUGUGAAGAAGGCCUUCGGGUUGUAAAGCACUUUUGUCCGGAAAGAAAUCCUUGGCUCUAAUACAGUCGGGGGAUGACGGUACCGGAAGAAUAAGCACCGGCUAACUACGUGCCAGCAGCCGCGGUAAUACGUAGGGUGCAAGCGUUAAUCGGAAUUACUGGGCGUAAAGCGUGCGCAGGCGGUUUGCUAAGACCGAUGUGAAAUCCCCGGGCUCAACCUGGGAACUGCAUUGGUGACUGGCAGGCUAGAGUAUGGCAGAGGGGGGUAGAAUUCCACGUGUAGCAGUGAAAUGCGUAGAGAUGUGGAGGAAUACCGAUGGCGAAGGCAGUCCCCUGGGCCAAUACUGACGCUCAUGCACGAAAAGCGUGGGGGAGCAAAACAGGAUUAGAUACCCCUGGUAGUCCACGCCCUAAAACGAUGUCAACUAGUUGUUGGGGAUUCAUUUCCUUAGUAACGUAGCUAACGCGUGAAGUUGACCGCCUGGGGAGUACGGUCGCAAGAUUAAAACUCAAAGGAAUUGACGGGGU